GAUGAAGAACGUAGCGAAAUGCGAUAAGUAAUGCGAAUUGCAGAAUUCAGUGAAUCAUCGAAUCUUUGAACGCAUAUUGCGCUCUCUGGUAUUCCGGAGAGCAUGCUUGUUUGAGUAUCAGUAAACACCUCAACUUCCAUAUCUUUUUUGAAAUGGGAGUUGGACUUGAGUGAUCCCAACGCUUUUCCUCACCGAAAAGUGGCGGGUUACUUGAAAUGCAGGUGCAGCUGGACUUUUCUCUGAGCUAUAAGCAUAUCUAUUUAGUCUGCCUAAAAACAGAUUAUUACCUUUGCUGCAGCUAACAUAAAGGAGAUUAGUUCUUGUGCUGACUGAUGCAGGAUUCACAAAGACAGGCUUCGGCCGACUUUGUAAACUCGAUCUCAAAUCAAGUAAGACUACCCGCUGAACUUAAGCAUAUCAAUAAGCGGAGGA
This 432-nucleotide unclassified non-coding RNA is filed under the name soil metagenome. RNAcentral describes it as "partial contains 5.8S ribosomal RNA, internal transcribed spacer 2, and large subunit ribosomal RNA". The stretch from base 1 to 120 matches the Rfam family "5.8S ribosomal RNA", at positions 35 to 154 of the family's 154-position model. The record is from RNAcentral.